Molecule: ribosomal RNA, 140 nt
Filed under: uncultured bacterium
Lineage: Bacteria
Description: partial 16S ribosomal RNA
Rfam family: Bacterial small subunit ribosomal RNA
Source: RNAcentral
UAGGGAAUAUUGGGCAAUGGGCGAAACUCUGACCCAGCGACGCCGCGUGCGGGAUGAAGGCCUUCGGGUUGUAAACCGCUUUCAGUAGGGAAGAAGCGAAAGUGACGGUACCUACAAAAGAAGCACCGGCUAACUAUGUG